GUCCACGCCGUAAACGAUGGAUACUAGCUGUUGGGAGCAAUUUCAGUGGCUAAGCGAAAGUGAUAAGUAUCCCACCUGGGGAGUACGUUCGCAAGAAUGAAACUCAAAGGAAUUGACGGGGCCCGCACAAGCGGUGGAGCAUGUGGUUUAAUUAGAUGAUACGCGAGGAACCUUACCAAGGCUUAAAUGUAGAUUGACCGGUUUUGGAAACAGACUUUUCGCAAGACAAUUUACAAGGUGCUGCAUGGUUGUCGU
Molecule: ribosomal RNA, 255 nt
Filed under: uncultured bacterium
Lineage: Bacteria
Description: partial 16S ribosomal RNA
Rfam family: Bacterial small subunit ribosomal RNA
Source: RNAcentral